GAUUCAUGAUAACUUCUCGAAUCGCACGGCCUUGCGCCGGCGAUGGUUCAUUCAAAUUUCUGCCCUAUCAACUUUCGACGGCUGGGUCUUGGCCAGCCGUGGUGACAACGGGUAACGGAGGGUUAGGGCUCGACCCCGGAGAAAACGCCUGAGAAACGGCGUUUACAUCCAAGGAAGGCAGCAGGCGCGCAAAUUACCCAAUGCCGACACGGCGAGGUAGUGACGAGAAAUACUGAUACAGGGCUCUUUUGGGUCUUGUAAUUGGAAUGAGUACAAUUUAAAUCCCUUAACGAGGAACAAUUGGAGGGCAAGUCUGGUGCCAGCAGCCGCGGUAAUUCCAGCUCCAAUAGCGUAUAUUAAAGUUGUUGCAGUUAAAAAGCUCGUAGUUGAACCUUGGGCCUGGCUGGCCGGUCCGCCUCACCGCGUGCACUGGUCCGGCCGGGCCUUUCCCUCUGGGGAACCCCAUGCCCUUCACUGGGCGUGGCGGGGAACCAGGACUUUUAC
Molecule: ribosomal RNA, 504 nt
Filed under: uncultured fungus
Lineage: Eukaryota; Fungi
Description: SSU rRNA
Rfam family: Eukaryotic small subunit ribosomal RNA
Source: RNAcentral